UACGUAGGGUGCGAGCGUUGUCCGGAAUUAUUGGGCGUAAAGGGCUCGUAGGCGGUUUGUCACGUCGGGAGUGAAAACUCAGGGCUUAACCCUGAGCCUGCUUCCGAUACGGGCAGACUAGAGGUAUGCAGGGGAGAACGGAAUUCCCGGUGUAGCGGUGAAAUGCGCAGAUAUCGGGAGGAACACCGGUGGCGAAGGCGGUUCUCUGGGCCUGUACUGACGCUGAGGAGCGAAAGCGUGGGGAGCGAACAGG
Molecule: ribosomal RNA, 253 nt
Filed under: uncultured bacterium
Lineage: Bacteria
Description: partial 16S ribosomal RNA
Rfam family: Bacterial small subunit ribosomal RNA
Source: RNAcentral